This 72-nucleotide transfer RNA is filed under the name Bacteroidaceae bacterium. Its description in RNAcentral is "tRNA-Cys". It matches the Rfam family "tRNA". Rfam says of the family: Transfer RNA (tRNA) molecules are approximately 80 nucleotides in length. Their secondary structure includes four short double-helical elements and three loops (D, anti-codon, and T loops). Further hydrogen bonds mediate the characteristic L-shaped molecular structure. tRNAs have two regions of fundamental functional importance: the anti-codon, which is responsible for specific mRNA codon recognition, and the 3' end, to which the tRNAs corresponding amino acid is attached (by aminoacyl-tRNA synthetases). tRNAs cope with the degeneracy of the genetic code in two manners: having more than one tRNA (with a specific anti-codon) for a particular amino acid; and 'wobble' base-pairing, i.e. permitting non-standard base-pairing at the 3rd anti-codon position. Lineage: Bacteria; Pseudomonadati; Bacteroidota; Bacteroidia; Bacteroidales; Bacteroidaceae. The record is from RNAcentral.
GGUACCUUGGAUGAGUGGUUGAGUCACCAGUCUGCAAAACUGUGUACGGCGGUUCGAAUCCGCCAGGUACCU